GGGGGAUGGAAGACUUGUGCCGGUUUUGCUGGAAGGAGAGAGAGAAAAGGAGGCUGGGGGUCGGCGGGGUUGACGUUUCUAUCCCCGCCCUCUCCCCCUAACACACACACACACACACACACACACACACACACACACACACACACACACACACACGCUCUCUUUAUCUUGGUAGCUUGGGCGCCGCCACAGCUCGGAUUACUCAAGCGUGCUUUAGCGGAAGCCAGCCAAGAAAUCUCCAAAACUCAGUGACAAACAGCUACUCUGGGAAGGUGAUCUCUACGGCCACCGGCCACAGGGCUCCGUCCCUGAGCUCCUCACGCCGCAGUAGCUAAAGCACCCUUAGCUGCAAGGAAAACACAGGUGCUGAACGUGUGGAGCUAUCCAUGGUUCUGAAUCCGACUCAGCAGUUGGCAACUCUUCUCUGCCUACAACCAACCAGGGACAAUAGAACUACAAACUCAGAUGUGAAAACUAAAGGUGAAAAGGGUUAAGAAACUUAACCAAGAUUUCAUAGCUAGCAUGUGGCAGAACUAUGGUUUGUCAAAGAUCAGAUGGUUGUAGAUGUGUGGUGUUAUUUCUGAGGCCUCUGUUCUACUCACAAUAGCAAAGACUUGGAACCAACCCAAAUGUCCAUCAACAAUAGACUGGAUUAAGAAAAUGUGGCACCAUGGAAUACUAUGCAGCCAUAAAAAAGGAUGAGUUCAUGUCCUUUGCACGGACAUAGAUGAGGCUGGAAACCAUCCUUCUCAACAAACUAUCACAAAGACAGAAAACCAAACACCACAUGUUCUCACUCAUAGGUGGGAACUGAGCAAUGAGAGCACUUGGACAAAGGGUGGGGAACAUCACACACUGGGGCCUGUCGGUGUGUGCGGGCUGGAGGAGGGAUAGCAUUAGGAGAAAUACCUAAUGUAAAUGACGAGUUGAUGGGUGCAGCACACCAACAUGGCACAUGGCACCUAUGUAUCAAACCUGCACGUUGUACACAUGUACCCUAGAACUUAAAGUAUAAUAAAAAAUAAAAUAAAAUUAUCUUGAGAUCA
RNAcentral lists this long non-coding RNA (1046 nucleotides) under Homo sapiens (human). RNAcentral's name for it is "HSALNT0042350". Lineage: Eukaryota; Metazoa; Chordata; Mammalia; Primates; Hominidae. The record is from RNAcentral.